This 406-nucleotide ribosomal RNA is filed under the name uncultured bacterium. RNAcentral's name for it is "partial 16S ribosomal RNA". It matches the Rfam family "Bacterial small subunit ribosomal RNA", at positions 30 to 526 of the family's 1533-position model. The record is from RNAcentral.
AUUGAACGCUGGCGGUAGGCCUAACACAUGCAAGUCGAACGAGUGGCGGACGGGUGAGUAAUGUCUGGGAAAAUGCCUGAUGGAGGGGGAUAACUACUGGAAACGGUAGCUAAUACAGCAUACCAUCAGAGGUGCCCAGAUGGGAUUAGCUUGUUGGUGGGGUAACGGCGCACCAAGGCGACCAACCCUAACUGGUCUGCGAGGAGGACCCGCCACAAUGGAACUGAGACACGGUCCAGACUCCUACGGGAGGCAGCAGUGGGGAAUAUUGCACAAUGGGCGCAAGCCUGAUGCAGCCAUGCCGCGUGUAUGUAGAAGGCCUUCGGGUUGUAAAGUACUUUCAGCGAGGAGGCGUUACCCGCAGAAGAAGCACCGGCUAACUCCGUGCCAGCCGCCGCGGUAAUAC